This 327-nucleotide ribosomal RNA is filed under the name Triticum aestivum (bread wheat). RNAcentral describes it as "partial small subunit ribosomal RNA". The record is from RNAcentral. Lineage: Eukaryota; Viridiplantae; Streptophyta; Magnoliopsida; Poales; Poaceae.
AUGAAGUACGAGGAUUGGGACGACAAAGACGACCGACUACGGCUCCCCACUUGGGUUCACAAGUGGGAUGUGUUAAAUGAGACGACGGAUGACCCCUCGGACAUGUACAAGUUGUACAAGAGCGAGCUGGACGCGAUCACGCCUGAGCGGGUGGAAUGGGAGUCGUAUGAAAAAGGAGAGAGUUUUGUUAACCCUAUAGAGUUCAGGCUGAAUCCGAUGUGCACUAGGGAUAGGGAUCUCUGGCAUAUGCGGUGCCCACUAAUAUGCAACUGGGCGGUUGAGCUUCACCUGCCACAUCGGGUGUUCCGCCAGUUUAGUUUGUUCUAG